GUGAGACGAUGGAGGAGCCGAGCGGUUGCUGUGGCUUUAGCCGGGUUGAAGGAGCAGUCGUGAGAAGUUUCCCGUUUGGAGCUGGGCUCCAAAGAGAAGGAACUUGAAAUUGCUACUUCUGAUAAAACUAGGAAAAGUGUCCCUGCUUGGCUGUUUGUUCCUUGCAAGCAGCAGAGCCCAGCCCCGAGAUUCCUCAGCGUUUGUGACCCGCAGUCACUGUCACCACGGCUCCCUUUGCCACUCCCCUGCUGAAGGGCAGGAGCUGCACAGAGCCAGGGGCAUUCAGCUGCAGGAUCCAGGAGGAUGCAGCUCCUCUUUUCAAGGAGGUCACUGGGAAGCGUGGGACAAGAACUGAACAAUAACUGCUUGCGGGCCCUGGCAAGGAGAGGAGCAGCAAAUUCUGCUGGAAGACUUUCU
RNAcentral lists this long non-coding RNA (417 nucleotides) under Corvus moneduloides (New Caledonian crow). RNAcentral describes it as "lncRNA (ENSCMUG00000018877.1)". The record is from RNAcentral. Lineage: Eukaryota; Metazoa; Chordata; Aves; Passeriformes; Corvidae.